AUAAUGCAGUCGAGCGAACUGAUUAGAAGCUUGCUUCUAUGACGUUAGCGGCGGACGGGUGAGUAACACGUGGGCAACCUGCCUGUAAGACUGGGAUAACUUCGGGAAACCGAAGCUAAUACCGGAUAGGAUCUUCUCCUUCAUGGGAGAUGAUUGAAAGAUGGUUUCGGCUAUCACUUACAGAUGGGCCCGCGGUGCAUUAGCUAGUUGGUGAGGUAACGGCUCACCAAGGCAACGAUGCAUAGCCGACCUGAGAGGGUGAUCGGCCACACUGGGACUGAGACACGGCCCAGACUCCUACGGGAGGCAGCAGUAGGGAAUCUUCCGCAAUGGACGAAAGUCUGACGGAGCAACGCCGCGUGAGUGAUGAAGGCUUUCGGGUCGUAAAACUCUGUUGUUAGGGAAGAACAAGUACGAGAGUAACUGCUCGUACCUUGACGGUACCUAACCAGAAAGCCACGGCUAACUACGUGCCAGCAGCCGCGGUAAUACGUAGGUGGCAAGCGUUAUCCGGAAUUAUUGGGCGUAAAGCGCGCGCAGGCGGUUUCUUAAGUCUGAUGUGAAAGCCCACGGCUCAACCGUGGAGGGUCAUUGGAAACUGGGGAACUUGAGUGCAGAAGAGAAAAGCGGAAUUCCACGUGUAGCGGUGAAAUGCGUAGAGAUGUGGAGGAACACCAGUG
RNAcentral lists this ribosomal RNA (680 nucleotides) under Priestia aryabhattai. Its description in RNAcentral is "bacterial SSU rRNA". It matches the Rfam family "Bacterial small subunit ribosomal RNA", at positions 51 to 714 of the family's 1533-position model. Lineage: Bacteria; Bacillati; Bacillota; Bacilli; Caryophanales; Bacillaceae. The record is from RNAcentral.